GAUAGCUCAAUUGGUAGAGCAUGAGAUUCUUAAUCCCAGGGCCAUGAGUUCGAGCCCCAUGUUGGGCA
Molecule: non-coding RNA, 68 nt
Organism: Podarcis lilfordi (Lilford's wall lizard)
Lineage: Eukaryota; Metazoa; Chordata; Lepidosauria; Squamata; Lacertidae
Source: the annotation of a GenBank genome assembly